AAUUGGGGUAGUGAUUUCUCCUGCAUGGACCUUGCUCCAUCUGAAACCGUGCCAACGUCAGUUCACACGCUGAGACCAGCAGACAUCAAUGUGGUGGCGGCACUCGGAGACUUUUCAACGGCAGGCACUGGCGCCAAGGCAAAGAACGUGUUUGACCUCAGGAAAGAGUAUAAAGGAGUAUCGUGGAG
This is a long non-coding RNA of Larimichthys crocea (large yellow croaker), 188 nucleotides long. RefSeq lists it as uncharacterized. The record is from RefSeq and is a predicted model, not a curated record. The transcript has 3 exons. Lineage: Eukaryota; Metazoa; Chordata; Actinopteri; Sciaenidae.